UGCUGCGAUUCAUGGGGUCGCAAAGAGUCGGACUCGACUGAGCAACUGAAAUGAACUGAACUGAACUGAACUAAAUUUAUGUUUUAUUUCUGAAUGAGUAUCAAAAACUCCAAAAGAUCAGCAGACCCUGAAAUAAACUGAAAUGAAUACUAAAAGAUAGAUUCUUGCACAACGUGUUUUUGUUAUUCUAGUGCUGUCAUCCUUAUUUCCUGCUAUUUAGCAAAGUUAAAAAGAAAAUAGAGGAGCAUGUGAACCUUCAUCAUUAGGAAGUUUAGGAUAAGCAACAAAAAUGGAAAUUUUGCUAAAUAGUAUUAGAGUGAAAAAUUUUAAUUCAUGUAUGUUUUCAAAUUAACUUUUUAAAAAUAUAUGUUGCUACUUUUUACUUUCCUGAAGCCUUUGAAGAACUUUGGAAGUACAAGUAUUAACAGAGAUGAUAUUAAGUAGCAGGAGAAGUUCUCAUUCUUGAACUCCUGGAAGGAGGCAUCUCAGAUGCAGAGGCAGUUUGGGUAUUAACUUCCCAUGCCCUCUUAAGCACUCCUUUCCUAAGAAAGGGCCAACAACUGUGGGGAGUGUCUUGCUUUCCAAAGACCUUUCUUUCUAUAUUUAUUUGCUUGCCCUUGCAUCAUUUUCUCCAUCAUUUACCUGCCCAAUAAAGGAUGGACAAGAAAUGGCAAAACAGUUGAAAGCCAAUCAAAUCAUUCCGGAAAAAUUGUUAACAGACCUGGAAUAAGAUUAGCCAAGAAACAUUUAGCUAAAAUAAGGUUUGGGGGGAAAUCUGUAGAUCUCAUUUAGAUUGUGUUUAUGUGACAACAAAGCAUCCGGUCAAUAUAGUAGAAAGUGGGCAAAUUGUUUAUGCAGUUGUGUUGACAAAACCACCAGUCAGUCCAAUGACUGCAUUUUCAAAUUUAUGGAUUCUAGCUUUUGUACAUACUGCCCAACCCAUGAUCGUGAAUAUUUGAUAGUUGCAUAAAUUAAUUUUUGGUAGAUUAACAGUUUAUGUCUGAAUCUUCAGGUAUUUUUGUUGGUUUGUUGCAUUGUUGCAUCUUUUUUGGAGCUAUAUGAUUGGUAGUACUGGAAACAGUGAAUUUUAACUUUAUUUAGUUAGGUUUAUGGAAGAAUUGUUUAAAAGAGUUUCUUCCUAACUACUUUUUUAGUGCACUUUUUAAAAGCACUACUUAAGAUGAAAUGUUCAUGUCACAGUACAAAUUUUAUUAAAUUACUGUUAUUCAUAAGUUCUCCCCCAAUGUUGCAGUGGUAUUGAU
RNAcentral lists this long non-coding RNA (1262 nucleotides) under Capra hircus (goat). Its description in RNAcentral is "lncRNA (ENSCHIG00010006958.1)". The record is from RNAcentral. Lineage: Eukaryota; Metazoa; Chordata; Mammalia; Artiodactyla; Bovidae.